RNAcentral lists this ribosomal RNA (253 nucleotides) under uncultured bacterium. RNAcentral's name for it is "partial 16S ribosomal RNA". It matches the Rfam family "Bacterial small subunit ribosomal RNA", at positions 524 to 776 of the family's 1533-position model. The record is from RNAcentral.
UACGAAGGGUGCAAACGUUGCUCGGAAUUAUUGGGCGUAAAGCGCACGUAGGCGGCUUGGCAAGUCGGAUGUGAAAGCCCACGGCUCAACCAUGGAAGUGCAGCCGAAACUGCUGAGCUUGAGUACUUAAGAGGAUCGCGGAAUUCCCGGUGUAGAGGUGAAAUUCGUAGAUAUCGGGAGGAACACCAGUGGCGAAGGCGGCGAUCUGGGAAGAUACUGACGCUGAGGUGCGAAAGCGUGGGGAGCAAACAGG